Molecule: ribosomal RNA, 251 nt
Filed under: uncultured prokaryote
Description: partial 16S ribosomal RNA
Rfam family: Bacterial small subunit ribosomal RNA
Source: RNAcentral
ACGGAGGGUGCAAGCGUUAAUCGGAAUCACUGGGCGUAAAGCGCGCGUAGGCGGUCUUUUAAGUCGGACGUGAAAGCCCUCGGCUCAACCGGGGAACUGCGUUCGAAACUGGGAGACUUGAGUCCUGGAGAGGGUGGCGGAAUUCCGGGUGUAGGAGUGAAAUCCGUAGAUAUCCGGAGGAACACCGGUGGCGAAGGCGGCCACCUGGACAGGUACUGACGCUGAGGCGCGAAAGCGUGGGGAGCAAACAG